UGCAACAGCCCCUCACAGCCAGGAGCCCCCCCAUGGCCUGGGGCCUCCUCUUCAUCUUGGCACAGAAAUUGUUUGAGGGAUGGCAGCUGUUAUCUUUGACACAGAAAGAUGCAGGACAGCAUUUCAUAUGGAACCAUUUUAAUGUUUUUGCUGUUUUUAGAAUUCAGAGCCCCUGCUCGGGGAUGCCUGGGAGAUCGGGUAAGAAGAGCUUUCAUUUGUCUGGUAGAUAGCACGUAAUGGAGUGGUCGUGCCAGAAGGCAGCUGCUGACGGGUUUGCUACACCCAGCCCUGGACUGUGUUGCCUGGGAGCUCAUUCAGAGAGGGGCUGUCAUCUGGGAGCCUGCGCCCCUGGGUCCUUGAGGGUCAUGGCUUGCCUCAGUCAGUCCUGUCUGACCAAGGCCUCACCUCUCUGCCCUUCCCCACCUGGUUCCUACCCACCUAGCCAGGGCCAGUGCCCAUUUUUCACCCGACCCAUUGAUCAUUUCAAGAAACCUCUGUUCUCCAGCCUGGACAACAGAGCAAGACUCUGUGUCAAAAAAAAAAAGAAAAGAAAAGAAAAGAAAAAAGAAACCUCUGUUUACUGUGUGGCACCUGGGAAAAACAUGCUCCACAAAUUCAACUUGUAUAUUUGGCAGAUUAAACUUGACAUUAUCAAAAAAAAAAAAAUUAGCCCAGCAUGGUGGCAGGUGCCUGUAAUCCCAGCUACUCGGGAGGCUGAGGCAGGAGAAUCGCUUGAACCCGGGUGACAGAGGUUGCAGUGAGCUGAGACUGCGCCACUGCACUCCAGCCUAGGCAACAGAGACUCUGUCUCAAAAAAAAAAUCCUGAAAGUUAAAAUAUCUCCAGAAAUACAACUAAAUUUUCUAAUCGUGGUUCAACCAAAUUGGCCCUCACUCUGCAAAAGAAUAAUAGGUUUCAUCAUCCAAAUUUUGUUUGGAACCGAGGGGAUCAAUUCCGAUUUAAAACACAGUACAAACUGUCAUGUCAGGAUUAGUUAGUUCUACAAGAAAUCACAAAAACCCUGCAACCUAUGGGUGGAGGUUGGCCACCAC
RNAcentral lists this long non-coding RNA (1051 nucleotides) under Homo sapiens (human). Lineage: Eukaryota; Metazoa; Chordata; Mammalia; Primates; Hominidae. The record is from RNAcentral.